This 494-nucleotide ribosomal RNA is filed under the name uncultured bacterium. RNAcentral describes it as "bacterial SSU rRNA". It matches the Rfam family "Bacterial small subunit ribosomal RNA", at positions 29 to 518 of the family's 1533-position model. The record is from RNAcentral.
AUGAACGCUAGCGGCAGGCUAACACAUGCAAGUCGAGGGGCAGCAUACCCAGCAAUGGGCGAUGGCGACCGGCGGAAGGGUGCGUAACGCGUGAGCAACAUACCCUAUACAGGGGGAUAAGCCAGGGAACUUGGUCUAAUAUCCCAUAGGAAAUAGAUAAGGCAUCUUGUUUAUUUUAAAGCUUCGGUGGUAUAGGAUUGGCUCGCGUGACAUUAGCUAGAUGGAGGGGUAACGGCCCACCAUGGCAAUGAUGUCUAGGGGUUCUGAGAGGAAGAUCCCCCACACUGGGACUGAGACACGGCCCAGACUCCUACGGGAGGCAGCAGUGAGGAAUAUUGGACAAUGGAUGGAAAUCUGAUCCAGCCAUGCCGCGUGCAGGAAGAACCGGCCCUAUGGGUUGUAAACUGCUUUUAUACGGGAGCAAUAAGGUCUAUGCAUAGAUUGAUGAGAGUACCGUAUGAAUAAGCAUCGGCUAACUCCGUGCCAGCCGCAGC